CCAGCCGUAAACUAUGAACACUAGGUGUGGAGGGUAUCGACCCCCUCCGUGCCGCAGCUAACGCAAUAAGUGUUCCGCCUGGGGAGUACGGCCGCAAGGCUAAAACUCAAAGGAAUUGAC
RNAcentral lists this ribosomal RNA (120 nucleotides) under uncultured bacterium. RNAcentral describes it as "partial 16S ribosomal RNA". It matches the Rfam family "Bacterial small subunit ribosomal RNA", at positions 796 to 914 of the family's 1533-position model. The record is from RNAcentral.